UUUAAAAGACCUAGCAAUAGGUAUGCUUAGGGAAGAGCUUGCGUCACAUUAGUUAGGUUGUGGGGUAAUGGCCUACCAAGACGAUGAUGUGCAACCGGGCUGAGAGGUCGAACGGCCACAUUGGGACUGAGACACGGCCCAAACUCCUACGGGAGGCAGCAGUAAGGAAUUUUCGGCAAUGGAGGAAACUCUGACCGAGCAAUGCCGCGUGAACGAUGAAGUAUUUCGGUACGUAAAGUUCUUUUAUUAGGGAAGAAAAGAUGGUGGAAAAACCAUUAUGACGGUACCUAAUGAAUAAGCCCCGGCUAACUAUGUGCCAGCAGCCGCGGUAAUACAUAGGGGGCAAGCGUUAUCCGGAAUUAUUGGGCGUAAAGGGUGCGUAGGCGGUUAAAUAAGUUUAUGGUCUAAGUGCAACGCUCAACGUUGUGAUGCUAUGAAAACUGUUUAGCUAGAGUUGGAUAGGGGCAAGUGGAAUUCCGUGUGUAGCGGUAAAAUGCGUAAAUAUACGGAGGAACACCAGAAGCGAAGGCGGCUUGCUGGGUCUUAACUGACGCUGAGGCACGAAAGCGUGGGAAGCAAACAGGAUUAGAUACCCUGGUAGUCCACGCCCUAAACGAUGAGUACUAAACGUUGGAUAAAACCAGUGUUGAAGUUAACACAUUAAAUACUCCGCCUGAGUAGUACGUACGCAAGUAUGAAACUUAAAGGAAUUGACGGGACUCCGCACAAGCGGUGGAUCAUGUUGUUUAAUUCGAAGGUACCCGAAAAACCUCACCAGGUCUUGACAUGCUUUUGCAAAGCUGUAGAAACACAGUCGAGGUUAUCAGUUGCACAGGUGGUGCAUGGUUGUCGUCAGCUCGUGUCGUGAGAUGUUGGGUUAAGUCCCGCAACGAGCGCAACCCUUGUUGUUAAUUGCCAUCAUUAAGUUGGGGACUUUAGCAAGACUGCCAAUGAUAAAUUGGAGGAAGGUGGGGACGACGUCAAAUCAUCAUGCCCCUUAUGACCCGGGCUACAAACGUGAUACAAUGGCUGUUACAAAGGGUAGCUAAAGCGUAAGCUUCUGGCGAAUCUCAAAAAAGCAGUCUCAGUUCGG
Molecule: ribosomal RNA, 1093 nt
Filed under: Candidatus Phytoplasma solani
Lineage: Bacteria; Bacillati; Mycoplasmatota; Mollicutes; Acholeplasmatales; Acholeplasmataceae
Description: bacterial SSU rRNA
Rfam family: Bacterial small subunit ribosomal RNA
Source: RNAcentral